UACGAACGAGGUUGAAGUCUUUAUUUUUGAGUCACACAUGAUUUCCUAGGAGACAUGCAGGAUUGCAGCUCGUUUAUCGUUUCAGCCCAUAAGUUAGAUUCAUGAAACACACUUUACAUCAGAACUGAGCGCCUGGUUCUAACUGGGUCUACAGGACCGGGUCCGAGUCAGUCAGAGUCCUAAAUCACAGCUUCAGGUUUCAGAGGGGAACUCCUCAGACCCGGAAAGAUCUCAGACCUGCUGAACCUUCUCCUCAACAUCUCAGCCGUCUGUUGGUUGAAGCUCCGAUUAUAUCAGCGGACACGGUCACAAGAACAUUUGGGUUCUGGAGUGUCGGUGGACUCAAAGUCCCGUGGAGUCACAUUCUCACCUCCGAGCGUCUCUUCAGACAGUACAUGCGUUGUGAUGACACAGCGGCGUGAUGGAGGAGGAGCGCGGCGAGUUAACGGUCAGAAUCAGACCUGCUCCUCAACGGUCCGACCGCUCUCAGGAAGUCGAGACAGUUUCAAAUAAAAAGUGAUUUUAAGAAACAAAAACAACAAGAGGCUGAAUCUCUGGAACUGGGAAUAAUAAAUAAAGUGUUCUGGUUCUGAUGGUUCUGACGGUUCUGAUGGUUCUGAUGGUUCUGGUGGUUCUGAUGGUCGGGCAGCUUCUCUGGUCUGACAGCAGCUCGCCUGAAAACUUUCAGUCAACAGUAAAAUACUCAGAGACCCCUAAUCACAGUG
Molecule: non-coding RNA, 725 nt
Organism: Xyrichtys novacula (pearly razorfish)
Lineage: Eukaryota; Metazoa; Chordata; Actinopteri; Labriformes; Labridae
Source: the annotation of a GenBank genome assembly